UCCAGACUCCUACGGGAGGCAGCAGUGGGGAAUAUUGCACAAUGGGGGGAACCCUGAUGCAGCGACGCCGCGUGGGUGAAGGAGUACUUCGGUACGUAAAGCCCUAUCAGCAGGAAAGAAAAUGACGGUACCUGACUAAGAAGCCCCGGCUAACUACGUGCCAGCAGCCGCGGUAAUACGUAGGGGGCAAGCGUUAUCCGGAUUUACUGGGUGUAAAGGGAGCGUAGACGGCAGUGCAAGUCCGGAGUGAAAGCCCGGGGCCCAACCCCGGGACUGCUCUUGGAACUGCGCGGCUGGAGUGCAGGAGGGGCAGGCGGAAUUCCUGGUGUAGCGGUGAAAUGCGUAGAUAUCAGGAGGAACACCGGUGGCGAAGGCGGCCUGCUGGACUGCGACUGACGUUGAGGCCCGAAAGCGUGGGGAGCAAACAGGAUUAGAUACCCCAGUAU
This 446-nucleotide ribosomal RNA is filed under the name uncultured bacterium. RNAcentral describes it as "partial 16S ribosomal RNA". It matches the Rfam family "Bacterial small subunit ribosomal RNA", at positions 330 to 793 of the family's 1533-position model. The record is from RNAcentral.